RNAcentral lists this ribosomal RNA (875 nucleotides) under Nostoc ellipsosporum LCR14. RNAcentral describes it as "bacterial SSU rRNA". The stretch from base 163 to 875 matches the Rfam family "Bacterial small subunit ribosomal RNA", at positions 1 to 746 of the family's 1533-position model. Lineage: Bacteria; Bacillati; Cyanobacteriota; Cyanophyceae; Nostocales; Nostocaceae. The record is from RNAcentral.
UAUUGAGUGGGUGAUGGGGGAGGGGGAAAAAAAAAAUAAUUAACCGGGGACUGUAAGGUUUAAAAAAAUAAAGAAAGAGCGGGAAGGGGAAAAUCACCAACCACGAGGAAUAUUAUAAGAAGUUGGUAGGGGGAGCAAGAAGGAAGAGGGAAAUGAGAGGAGUAAAAAAAGAAAAAUCGGGAAAUUAAUAGCCGCGAGACAUAUCGGGGAGGAAUAUCGUACGUAAUUUUUUUUUCGGGGGGGUGAGUAACGCGUGAGAAUUUGCAUUCAGGUCGGGGACAACCACUGGAAACGGUGGCUAAUACCGGAUGUGCCGAGAGGUAAAAGGCUUGCUGCCUGAAGAUGAGCUCGCGACUGAUUAGCUAGUAGGUGUGGUAAGAGCGCACCUAGGCGACGAUCAGUAGCUGGUCUGAGAGGAUGAUCAGCCACACUGGGACUGAGACACGGCCCAGACUCCUACGGGAGGCAGCAGUGGGGAAUUUUCCGCAAUGGGCGAAAGCCUGACGGAGCAAUACCGCGUGAGGGAGGAAGGCUCUUGGGUUGUAAACCUCUUUUCUCAAGGAAUAAGAAAGUGAAGGUACUUGAGGAAUAAGCAUCGGCUAACUCCGUGCCAGCAGCCGCGGUAAUACGGAGGAUGCAAGCGUUAUCCGGAAUGAUUGGGCGUAAAGAGUCCGUAGGUGGUUGUGAAAGUCUGCGGUCAAAGAGCAAGGCUCAACCUUGUAAAGGCAGUGGAAACUACACAGCUAGAGUGCUUUCGGGGCAGAAGGAAUUCCUGGUGUAGCGGUGAAAUCCCCCGAGAUCUCUAAGAACGGGCGGUGACGCGCGACAAUGGGAUUAGAUACACACAGUCUUCUCGGUCGGGUAGCGGCCGAAAA